This 481-nucleotide ribosomal RNA is filed under the name uncultured bacterium. Its description in RNAcentral is "partial 16S ribosomal RNA". It matches the Rfam family "Bacterial small subunit ribosomal RNA", at positions 30 to 507 of the family's 1533-position model. The record is from RNAcentral.
AUUGAACGCUGGCGGCAUGCUUUACACAUGCAAGUCGAACGGUAACAGGCCGCAAGGUGCUGACGAGUGGCGAACGGGUGAGUAAUGCAUCGGAACGUGCCCAGUCGUGGGGGAUAACUACUCGAAAGAGUAGCUAAUACCGCAUACGAUCUAUGGAUGAAAGCGGGGGACCGUAAGGCCUCGCGCGAUUGGGCGGCCGAUGUCAGAUUAGGUAGUUGGUGGGGUAAAGGCUCACCAAGCCAACGAUCUGUAGCUGGUCUGAGAGGACGACCAGCCACACUGGGACUGAGACACGGCCCAGACUCCUACGGGAGGCAGCAGUGGGGAAUUUUGGACAAUGGGCGCAAGCCUGAUCCAGCAAUGCCGCGUGCAGGAAGAAGGCCUUCGGGUUGUAAACUGCUUUUGUACGGAACGAAACGGCUCUGGUUAAUACCCGGGGCUAAUGACGGUACCGUAAGAAUAAGCACCGGCUAACUACGUG